GACUGUAUAUGAUUAUUAUCUUUAGUCCAACAUGUUUUUUCUUUAGUCCAACAUGGCAUAUGCCACAUUAGUCAAUUUAAUUCAAUUUUUUUAGUAAACCAUUUUAAUUCAUUUUACUUUAAUAUGUUUGUUUCUCAAACCCUACCACCGCUCAUCCUUCUCCAUCCUUCAGCACCAGAACCCUCCAGUGCCGCCCAAUAUCACAUCCAUUUAUAGUCAUCAUCACCAGCAUAGUGGCCCUUUGAUCUGAUUUUAGUAAAUAAAAAAUUUCAUAAAAGAGUAGAUUUGAUGUUCUUAAAAGAUUUAAGUUUUUUUUUUUUUUUUUCAUAAAAGAAUAGAUUCGAUCAAAGAACAUGAAGGCCUUGCAACCCAAACCAAGGGCAUAACCUCCUCACCAAAAAAAAUAAUCUGAACUUGUUUCACUUAAUUCCAGACAUGAAACCCAACACCAUCUUGAGAAGUCCAUGGCUAAUCUAUAAUGUCCAGG
RNAcentral lists this long non-coding RNA (487 nucleotides) under Prunus persica (peach). RNAcentral describes it as "long non-coding RNA (PPER_LNC001191)". Lineage: Eukaryota; Viridiplantae; Streptophyta; Magnoliopsida; Rosales; Rosaceae. The record is from RNAcentral.